CUGACUGCUAUCGGAUUGAUACUAAGCCAUGCGAGUCAUUGUAGUAAUACAAGGCAGACGGCUCAGUAACGCGUAGUCAACCUAACCUAUGGACGGGAAUAACCUCGGGAAACUGAGUAUAAUGCCCGAUAGAACAUUAUGCCUGGAAUGGUUUAUGUUCCAAAUGAUUUAUCGCCGUAGGAUGGGACUGCGGCCUAUCAGUUUGUUGGUGAGGUAAUGGCCCACCAAGACUAUUACAGGUACGGGCUCUGAGAGGAGUGGCCCGGAGAUGGGUACUGAGACACGGACCCAGGCCCUAUGGGGCGCAGCAGGCGAGAAAACUUUGCAAUGUGCGAAAGCACGACAAGGUUAAUCCGAGUGGUUUCUGCUAAAGGAACCUUUUGUCGGUCCUAGAAACACCGAUGAAUAAGGGGUGGGCAAGUUCUGGUGUCAGCCGCCGCGGUAAAACCAGCACCUCAAGUGGUCAGGAUGAUUAUUGGGCCUAAAGCAUCCGUAGCCGGCUCUGUAAGUUUUCGGUUAAAUCUGUACGCUCAACGUACAGGCUGCCGGGAAUACUGCAGAGCUAGGGAGUGGGAGAGGUAGACGGUACUCGGUAGGAAGGGGUAAAAUCCUUUGAUCUAUUGAUGACCACCUGUGGCGAAGGCGGUCUACCAGAACACGUCCGACGGUGAGGGAUGAAAGCUGGGGGAGCAAACCGGGAUUAGAUACCCGGGUAGUCCCAGCUGUAAACUAUGCAAACUCAGUGAUGCAUUGGCUUGUGGCUAAUGCAGUGCUGCAGGGAAGCCGUUAAGUUUGCCGCCUGGGAAGUACGUACGCAAGUAUGAAACUUAAAGGAAUUGGCGGGGGAGC
This 849-nucleotide ribosomal RNA is filed under the name uncultured marine archaeon. Its description in RNAcentral is "bacterial SSU rRNA". It matches the Rfam family "Archaeal small subunit ribosomal RNA", at positions 23 to 877 of the family's 1478-position model. The record is from RNAcentral.